Small nucleolar RNA from Papaver somniferum (opium poppy), 214 nucleotides. RefSeq annotates it as small nucleolar RNA U3. Lineage: Eukaryota; Viridiplantae; Streptophyta; Magnoliopsida; Ranunculales; Papaveraceae. The transcript has a single exon. The record is from RefSeq and is a predicted model, not a curated record.
ACGACCUUACUUGAAUAUGAUCUGUUCUAUAGGCUCGUACCUCUGUAUCCUUGAGUUCUAAGGAGACAUGAAACACAGUAUGGUUGAUGAAACAGGACCGCACGGUCAGAGCGUGAUUAAUGGUCACAGGCAUGUGAUGUAGGCCUGGAUGUAGAUGAUCAUUCUCAGCUUGGAUUUGGCAUGCUGUGAUGACCGUGCGGUUGUCUGACAGACU